RNAcentral lists this ribosomal RNA (450 nucleotides) under Flavobacterium sp. IGS22. RNAcentral's name for it is "bacterial SSU rRNA". It matches the Rfam family "Bacterial small subunit ribosomal RNA", at positions 22 to 469 of the family's 1533-position model. Lineage: Bacteria; Pseudomonadati; Bacteroidota; Flavobacteriia; Flavobacteriales; Flavobacteriaceae. The record is from RNAcentral.
GCUCAGGAUGAACGCUAGCGGCAGGCCUAAUACAUGCAAGUCGAACGAUAGAUAAGGGCUUGCUCUUAUCGAAAGUGGCGCACGGGUGCGUAACGCGUAUGCAACCUACCUUUAUCUGGGGGAUAGCCCGGAGAAAUCCGGAUUAAUACCGCAUAAAAUCACAGGAUUGCAUAAUCCAAUGAUCAAACAUUUAUGGGAUGAAGAUGGGCAUGCGUGUCAUUAGCUAGUUGGCGGGGUAACGGCCCACCAAGGCGACGAUGACUAGGGGAUCUGAGAGGAUGGCCCCCCACACUGGUACUGAGACACGGACCAGACUCCUACGGGAGGCAGCAGUAAGGAAUAUUGGUCAAUGGAGGCAACUCUGAACCAGCCAUGCCGCGUGCAGGAAGACUGCCCUAUGGGUUGUAAACUGCUUUUAUCCGGGAAUAAACCUUUCUACGUGUAGGAAGC